UGGGGAAUAUUGCACAAUGGGCGAAAGCCUGAUGCAGCGACGCCGCGUGAGGGAUGACGGCCUUCGGGUUGUAAACCUCUUUCAGUCGGGCAGAAGCGAAAGUGACGGUACCUGCAGAAGAAGCGCCGGCUAACUACGUGCCAGCAGCCGCGGUAAUACGCAGGGCGCAAGCGUUAUCCGGAAUUAUUGGGCGUAAAGAGCUCGUAGGCGGUUUGUCGCGUCUGCCGUGAAAGUCCGGGGCUCAACUCCGGAUCUGCGGUGGGUACGGGCAGACUAGAGUGAUGUAGGGGAGACUGGAAUUCCUGGUGUAGCGGUGAAAUGCGCAGAUAUCAGGAGGAACACCGAUGGCGAAGGCAGGUCUCUGGGCAUUAACUGACGCUGAGGAGCGAAAGCAUGGGGAGCGA
RNAcentral lists this ribosomal RNA (404 nucleotides) under uncultured bacterium. Its description in RNAcentral is "bacterial SSU rRNA". It matches the Rfam family "Bacterial small subunit ribosomal RNA", at positions 355 to 771 of the family's 1533-position model. The record is from RNAcentral.